Molecule: long non-coding RNA, 2104 nt
Organism: Amphiprion ocellaris (clown anemonefish)
Lineage: Eukaryota; Metazoa; Chordata; Actinopteri; Pomacentridae
Source: Ensembl
AGAAGACAGCGCGCUAGCGUAUCUAGUCUAUGUAUAUCUAUGGUCGGCACGUCUGGUAGCAUCUCUGGCUGCUGUUGACCUUGUUUUUGGAGUAAAACACGAUGUUCAGAGGGAGAUGAUGCCACAUCUGGUCCAGCUGAUGGAAGGUCUUGAAGUUCUCUGACUGGCCUCGACUGAAGAUGGUCGUCUCACUGGAUUUAAGAUGCACAAUGAGGGACGUCUGCAGUGACUGAGAAAGAGUCUCACCACAUCCUGACAUGAGGAAAAAGACUUUAUUGAAGACUACAAUGAGAAAAACUAUCAGACAGCAGACGGCUGCAUUCAAGGUGAGCUCUGAACAUUUGAUCUGGAACAGGAAUUCAGUAACGGCAGCAUGAGCUUCAUUUCAGUCUGUAGCUGCUGAAUUCAUGGAUGAAUCAUCUGGCACUAGAGAGGAAGACCAUCAAAUAUCCACGUCAGCUGAUGGAGGUCCAAGAGUCUCACCCAACAACCAACCUACAGAGUGAAGACCUUGAAUCUGAUUGGACGGCCUCCUAUUCAGCCACAUUUUAGGCUGUUAGAUUGUUCCAGAUAAGACAAGUACAAGAUUCUUCAGAGCCGUUCUACCACGAGCCUGACAGGAAGAACUCUAACAGCUACUGAAUGUUCCUGUGGUUCCCUCAAGGCUACAGGAGGAGUCCUACGAGGACGAGCCGGUCCACCUGAUGGAGGCCAGUCGCUGCAGUUCAAAGCCAACACCGACUAUGUGGACUUCUACUGGACCACACGGAGGCCUUCAAACCGGACCAACAAGUUCAGCGACUCCCCGACUCGUGGGUCUGAGGACGCCGCCAAGCCUCGGUCCAGCCGGCCUCCUGUCUGGGUGUUUGAGUGCUGAGAGGUUUGUGGAUACAUGUGAACAUAUCUGUGUUGAAACAGCAGCUUUUGCCUCAGUAACGCCGAGAAAAACCAAGAGCUCCUUUAUUUGUGACUUCCACUAAAAAAACUGAUGAAAAUAAGUUUGCCAGGGUUCUGACUGAUAACAGAUUAUUAAAUAAUGAAAAUAAUCAUUUAAAUAUUCCUUUAAACAAUCGUUUUAGGUCUACAUUUCCUUUACACUGACUUCUUGGUAUUUUGGGUGGAAUAUACCAUUAAGCCCAAUGUUCAAGGGUUCUUCUGGGAAUAUACCAUUAAACCAUCCUUUUAGGUAAAUGUUCUAGGAUGUUGGGUAGAAUAUACCAUCAGAUCAACCUUUUAGGUCUACAGUGGAAGAUUUUAGAGUAGAAUAUUACUCCAAACCAUCCUUUAGGUCGACAUUUAAGGUGGAAUACUCCUUUAAACCAAGAUUUUUUUGGUCGACAUUGAAAGAUUUUAGGUGGAAUAUUCCUUUGAAUGAACUUUUUAAGUUUAUGUUAAAGAAUGUUGGGUGGAAUAUACCAUCAGACCAACCUCCAAGGUCUACAGUAGUGAAUUUUAGGUGGAAUAUACCAUUAAACUCACCUUUUAGGUCUACAUUGGAGGAUUUUAGGUGGAAUUUUCUUCCAAACCGUCUUUUAGUCUACAUUUAAGGAUGUUUAGGAUGGUAUAUUCUUCCGAACCAACUUCUCAGGUCUACAUUUCAGGUGGAAUAUUCCUCCAUACUAACUUUUUUGGUCUACAUUGAAGGAUUUUUUCUAAACCACCCUUUCGGGUCUAUAUUUGAGGUUUUAGGUGGAAUAUUCCUUUUAACCAGCCCUUCAAGUCUCUUUGAGGAUUCUGGAUGGACUCCGCGGUUAAACCAACAUUUUAGGUGCAUGUCCAAGGAUUUUUGGUGGAAUGUUUCUUUAAGGUUGAUGUUUGAGGACCUUGUAGGUGGAAUACUUCCUGAAACCAACCUUUUAGGUCAACAUUCAAAGAUUUAAGGUGAAAUAUUCCUUUAAAUCAACCUAAAUUUCAUGUUUUGAUCAUUAUCAAGUGAGAAACCUCAAUCCAGACUCCUCAUAAUGACGUUUGAGAUUUAUGCUGCUGUUAUUUGUUUAGUCCAGACUAAAUGACAGAAAUCCACAACUGUAAUUUUAUUUCAGGACUCGGUUAUUAAAUGUCAAAACAAUCCAUGUGACUCUAAAAACUCAACAGCUUUACAAAC